GACGAACGCUGGCGGCGUGCUUAACACAUGCAAGUUGAACGGAGAUAUCGUUUUCGGAUGAUAUCUUAGUAGCGGACGGGUGAGUAACGCGUGAGCAACCUACCUUUGUGAGGGGGACAACAGCUGGAAACGGCUGCUAAUACCGCAUAAGACCACGGUUCUGAUUGGGACUGAGGUAAAAGAUUUUAUCGCACAAAGAUGGGCUCGCGUCCCAUUAGCUAGUUGGUGAGGUAACGGCCCACCAAGGCAACGAUGGGUAGCCGACCUGAGAGGGUGAUCGGCCACACUGGAACUGAGACACGGUCCAGACUCCUACGGGAGGCAGCAGUGGGGAAUAUUGGGCAAUGGGCGCAAGCCUGACCCAGCAACGCCGCGUGAGGGAAGAAGGUCUUCGGAUUGUAAACCUCUGUCCCACGGGACGAAAAAAAUGACGGUACCGGGGGAGGAAGCUCCGGCUAACUACGUGC
This 467-nucleotide ribosomal RNA is filed under the name bacterium enrichment culture clone C1_F5. RNAcentral's name for it is "bacterial SSU rRNA". It matches the Rfam family "Bacterial small subunit ribosomal RNA", at positions 28 to 508 of the family's 1533-position model. The record is from RNAcentral.